UGGCGCAAGGGUGCGUAACUCGUAAGCAAUCUACCUUUAGAAGGGGAAUAACCCAGCGAAAGCCGGACUAAUACCCCAUAAUGCAGCGGCACCGCAGGGUGAUGUUGUUAAAGUCUAUAUGACGUCUAGAGAUGAGCUUGCGUCUGAUUAGCUAGUUGGUGAGGUAACGGCUCACCAAGGCUACGAUCAGUAGCUGGUCUGAGAGGAUGAUCAGCCACACUGGAACUGAGACACGGUCCAGACUCCUACGGGAGGCAGCAGUGAGGAAUAUUGGGCAAUGGACGCAAGUCUGACCCAGCAACGCCGCGUGAAGGAUGAAUGUCGUAAGAUUGUAAACUUCUGUGAGAAGGGACGAAAAAACAGGCUCAAACCCUGUUCUGACGGUACCUUCAGAGGAAGCCCCGGCUAACUACGUGCCAGCAGCCGCGGUAAUACGUAGGGGGCUAGCGUUGUCCGGAUUUACUGGGUGUAAAGGGCGCGUAGGCGGGCUUGUUAGUCAGAGGUGAAACCCUGCAGCUUAACUGCAGAACUGCCUUUGAUACUGCAAGUCUUGAGUCUAGAAGAGAGAAGCGGAAUUCCAGGUGUAGUGGUGAAAUACGUAGAUAUCUGGAAGAACACCGGUUGCGAAGGCGGCUUCUUGGUCUAGCACUGACGCUGAGGCGCGAAAGCGUGGGUAGCAAACAGGAUUAGAUACCCUGGUAGUCCACGCUGUAAACUAUGAAUACUAGAUGUUGGGCUUUAUGUCCAGCGUCGAAGCUAACGCAUUAAGUAUUCCACCUGGGGAGUACGAUCGCAAGGUUGAAACUCAAGGAAUUGACGGGGGCCCGCACAGCAGUGAGCAUGUGGUUUAUUCG
This 854-nucleotide ribosomal RNA is filed under the name uncultured bacterium. Its description in RNAcentral is "bacterial SSU rRNA". It matches the Rfam family "Bacterial small subunit ribosomal RNA", at positions 96 to 953 of the family's 1533-position model. The record is from RNAcentral.